UAGGGAAUCUUCCACAAUGGACGAAAGUCUGAUGGAGCAACGCCGCGUGAGUGAAGAGGGGUUUUCGGCUCGUAAAACUCUGUUGUUAAAGAAGAACAUAUCUGAGAGUAACUGUUCAGGUAUUGACGGUAUUUAACCAGAAAGCCACGGCUAACUACGUGCCAG
Molecule: ribosomal RNA, 165 nt
Filed under: uncultured bacterium
Lineage: Bacteria
Description: partial 16S rRNA
Rfam family: Bacterial small subunit ribosomal RNA
Source: RNAcentral